GAUGAACGCUGGCGGCGUGGAUAAGGCAUGCAAGUCGAACGCAUUUAGUUGCGUGGCAGACGAGGUAGUAACACGUAGGAAUUCACCCUCAAGUCGGGCAUAACCCAGGGAAACUUGGAAUAAUCCCCGAUAGUCUCUUCGGAGUAAAGUUCCGGCGCUUGAGGAGAAGCCUGCGGAGUAUCAGCUUGUUGGUAAGGUAAUGGCUUACCAAGGCUAUGACGCUUAGGGGAGGUGAGAGCCUGGCCCCCACCGAUGGAACUGAGACACGGUCCAUACACCUACGGGUGGCCGCAGUCGAGAAUCUUCCGCAAUGGGCGAAAGCCUGACGGAGCGACGCCGCGUGAUCGAUGAAGCUCUUCGGAGUGUAAAGGUCUUUUAUGAAGGAGGAAGUUUAUUGACGUUACUUCAUGAAUAAGGGGUUGCUAAACUCG
Molecule: ribosomal RNA, 431 nt
Filed under: uncultured bacterium
Lineage: Bacteria
Description: bacterial SSU rRNA
Rfam family: Bacterial small subunit ribosomal RNA
Source: RNAcentral